GCAGCGUUUGUAUCCAGGAUACUUUGUUGAUAGUGGGAGGAAGUGGAGAAGCGUCGUCCAUCUUUAUCUUCAACUUUUCUUGGCAAAGGAGACGUCUGACGGUGUGGGUGUCUGGCUCUGAUGAGACCUGCUGGUUAAUCCACAGUUUUCCUCCACGUCAGGCUUCAGCAGGAGGGAGAGGAGGAAGAAACGAAGCAGCAAUACAUGACAAGAACUGGUGCAGCUUAAUUGGAGAACAGAUUUGAGAUCGGGAAGUCAGUUUAUUUAUAGAGCACAUAUGUACAUUUUAGAUUCCAUUUAAGGUUCUUUUUAUAGCUUACUAAAGGUUCUUAAUGGUCUGAGUCCUCAGUAAAUCUUUUAUCCUCAUACAACCCUGCUCGCACUUUGAGAUCCUUUGGCAUGAGCCUUUUAACUGUUCCAGAUUCUCGGCUAAAGACUACGGGGACGGAGCUUAUGAAAUAAGAGCUCAGAG
Paralichthys olivaceus (Japanese flounder) is the source of this 472-nucleotide long non-coding RNA. RefSeq lists it as uncharacterized. The record is from RefSeq and is a predicted model, not a curated record. NCBI's taxonomy places the organism in Eukaryota, Metazoa, Chordata, Actinopteri, Pleuronectiformes, Paralichthyidae.